This 1804-nucleotide long non-coding RNA is filed under the name Ovis aries (sheep). Its description in RNAcentral is "lncRNA (ENSOARG00000025930.1)". Lineage: Eukaryota; Metazoa; Chordata; Mammalia; Artiodactyla; Bovidae. The record is from RNAcentral.
AUGGAGACCCAGGGGAGGGGUGCGCCCCAUGCCCGGGGGCACUCUCACUUCAUCCCAGGGUGGGGGCCGUCUUGGGGGUGGGGGCCAGCCUCGCUUGCCUCGCUGGGGGACCCGCCCUCCUCCUUCGGCCGUCCAGACAAGAGGUGUCUCAGUGGAGCUCAUCUCUCUAGAGGUCGUCGGGGGUCACAGCCACCAAGCCAGUCCCCGCCAGGCUGGACCUGCGCCCGCCCCGCUGCAGAGGCCGCAGUGAAGAGCCUGGGCCUGUGCACAGUACACCCCCCACCAGACCUCUGCCUCUGUCUCCCCCAGCGCAGACCCGGGCCCUUGGAGGAGCAGGAGAGGGGGGCAGGGCCCGUCGAGGGACCCGCCUGGCCUGGGCUCGGGCUCCCAGCCGGCCCCCAAGCCCUGCUCCUGGAAGGCAGCCCUGGCGGCCUGGGGGAAACAGGACCAGCGUCUUCCCUCCUUGGGGACCCCUGGCUCUUCAGACGCCCUCCAGCUGUUACACCUUUCCACGGCCCCCUCAGGGAUGACUCGCAGGCAGAUGUGCAUAUAAUGUGCACGAAUUCGCUGCUACGUGAAGUUAGUUCCCAAGCCCCCUUGCUCGCCCAAAUACCUUUGACCUCAUUUUCACAAGUACUUUAAAAAAUAGUCUUCUCAAGUCCUCAAAGCAAGAGUAUUUAUAAGUAAAUUAUAGCAAGGCUCAUAUUAUUUACGAAAAUCAUUUUUUUAAACUCUGCCCACCUUUCAAUUAAGCAGCUUUUAAACCUAACACUUAAAAAUUUUCUGGCUUGUCAAGUAAAGAAUGUUUCUUGUUUAGUACUUUUAUUUUUGCCUUCCACAAUAAUGAUACGACACGUAAGAAAUUUUUUUUUUCAAGAGGGAUUGCUCAAUAUUCAAUUCCACGAUAUUAAUUAUAACAUCUAUAAAGGAGGGUCCUUUCCAGGAGAGUCUUAGUUCUAGGCUGAGAGGCCAAGCGCACGCUAGGUUGUUAAGUUGUGUCUAACUCUUACGAUCCCGUGGACGACUGUAGCCCGCCAGGCCCCUCUGUCCAUGGAGCUCUCCAGGCAAGAACACGGGAGUGAGUGGCUGUUCCCUUCUCCAGGGCGUCUUCCCGAGCCAGGGACUGACUCCCAGUCCCGCCUUUUCCAGCUGAGCCAGUGGGCUCAGUGUCUUCCGCAGAUGCUACGGGCUUGUCAGGGUGGAGGGUCCCCAGCCCUGGAUCUUCGUCCUGACUGUGGCUCCUGGGGGUGCAUCAGAGCCCGGGGCUGGCGAGUGAAGGGCUGCAUUCUGUGUCCCAGGCAGAGUCCACACCCAACAGGGACUGCUCUCCUGCCCAGACGCUAAGGAGCCAGGUCUUCAAGGAAGACAGAGGCGAUGGGAGAUACUGCUGUGGGGGCAGAACUCCCGAUGCCAUGUGGAAUUGCCGCAUUUCACAGUCUGCCAGUUUCUGUCUUGGGGACCAGUCGGGCCUGUGGGUGUGGGCUGUCCUCAGGCCUGGGGGAAGGAGGACCACCCCCCACCUGGCCUGCCCUGGCGCUGGCCGGUUCAUAGCUCUUGCUUGGCUAUCUGUGUCCCCAUCAGCCCUCUCGUGUCUGUUCUGGCUGCGUCCUCUACUCAGAGAGAAUCCAGAAAGGUCCCACGUGGUUACUACCCCCUUGCUCCCCGAGGUCCCUUAGAGAGCUCCUAGCCGGUCUAAGAACUGCCCAGAACCUCGGAGAGCCCAGCAAGUCUGGGGGAGCCGUGUCCUGACAUCCGAGCCGCUGCUCUCGCAAUCUUCACCCGGUGGGUCGCACCCUUGUGCUUC